GACGAACGCUGGCGGCGUGCUUAACACAUGCAAGUCGAACGGAAAGGCCCUGCUUUUGUGGGGUGCUCGAGUGGCGAACGGGUGAGUAACACGUGAGUAACCUGCCCUUGACUUUGGGAUAACUUCAGGAAACUGGGGCUAAUACCGGAUAGGAGCUCCUGCUGCAUGGUGGGGGUUGGAAAGUUUCGGCGGUUGGGGAUGGACUCGCGGCUUAUCAGCUUGUUGGUGGGGUAGUGGAUUACCAAGGCUUUGACGGGUAGCCGGCCUGAGAGGGUGACCGGCCACAUUGGGACUGAGAUACGGACCAGACUCCUACGGGAGGCAGCAGUGGGGAAUAUUGCACAAUGGGCGGAAGCCUGAUGCAGCAACGCCGCGUGCGGGAUGACGGCCUUCGGGUUGUAAACCGCUUUCGCCUGUGACGAAGCGUGAGUGACGGUAAUGGGUAAAGAAGCACCGGCUAACUACGUG
RNAcentral lists this ribosomal RNA (468 nucleotides) under uncultured bacterium. RNAcentral's name for it is "partial 16S ribosomal RNA". It matches the Rfam family "Bacterial small subunit ribosomal RNA", at positions 28 to 507 of the family's 1533-position model. The record is from RNAcentral.